UUUUGGAUUUAUGGGGCUUUAUUCAUAAAAAAAGGGGGAAUUUUCAACACUUCGGACAAUAACUCAAAAAUGCUUUCACCAAUGUCCAUGAAACUUUGGUGAAUUGUUUAUAUCUAUUGAUGUAAGCUCCCUUUUGUUUUUUUUUAAUUUCAGAUUUUAAGUUUUGGAUUUAUGGGGCUUUAUUCAUAAAAAAGGGGGGAUUUUCAACACUUCGGACAAUUACUCAAAAAGGCUUUCACCAAUGUCCAUGAAACUUUGGUGAAUUGUUUAUAUCUAUUGAUGUAAGCUCCCUUUCAAUUUUUAUAAAUUUCAGAUUUUAAGUUUUGGAUUUAUGGGGCUUUAUUCAUAAAUAAAGGGGGAUUUUUAACACUUCGGACAAUUACUCAAAAAGGCUUUCACCAAUGUCCAUGAAACUUUGGUGAAUUGUUUAUAUCUAUUGAUGUAAGCUCCCUUUCAAUUUUUAUAAAUUUCAGAUUUUAAGUUUUGGAUUUAUGGGGCUUUAUUCAUAAAAAAAGGGGGAUUUUUAACACUUCGG
This 535-nucleotide long non-coding RNA is filed under the name Mytilus galloprovincialis (Mediterranean mussel). The record is from RNAcentral. Lineage: Eukaryota; Metazoa; Mollusca; Bivalvia; Mytilida; Mytilidae.